CCUACGGGGGGCUGCAGUGGGGAAUAUUGGACAAUGGGGGGAACCCUGAUCCAGCCAUGCCGCGUGUGUGAAGAAGGCCCUCGGGUUGUAAAGCACUUUCAGUGAGGAAGAACGCCUGGUGGUUAAUACCCAUCAGGAAAGACAUCACUCACAGAAGAAGCACCGGCUAACUCCGUGCCAGCAGCCGCGGUAAUACGGAGGGUGCGAGCGUUAAUCGGAAUUACUGGGCGUAAAGCGCGCGUAGGUGGCUUGAUAAGCCGGUUGUGAAAGCCCCGGGCUCAACCUGGGAACGGCAUCCGGAACUGUCAAGCUAGAGUGCAGGAGAGGAAGGUAGAAUUCCCGGUGUAGCGGUGAAAUGCGUAGAGAUCGGGAGGAAUACCAGUGGCGAAGGCGACCUUCUGGACUGACACUGACACUGAGGUGCGAAAGCGUGGGUAGCAAACAGGAUUAGAUACCCGGGUAGUC
This 465-nucleotide ribosomal RNA is filed under the name Vreelandella stevensii. RNAcentral describes it as "partial 16S ribosomal RNA". It matches the Rfam family "Bacterial small subunit ribosomal RNA", at positions 338 to 795 of the family's 1533-position model. The record is from RNAcentral. Lineage: Bacteria; Pseudomonadati; Pseudomonadota; Gammaproteobacteria; Oceanospirillales; Halomonadaceae.